ACUGAACGCUGGCGGCAGGCCUAACACAUGCAAGUCGAGCGGUAGAGAGAUGCUUGCAUCUCUUGAGAGCGGCGGACGGGUGAGUAAUGCCUAGGAAUCUGCCUAGUGGUGGGGGAUAACGUUCGGAAACGGACGCUAAUACCGCAUACGUCCUACGGGAGAAAGCGGGGGAUCUUCGGACCUCGCGCCAUUAGAUGAGCCUAGGUCGGAUUAGCUAGUUGGUGAGGUAAUGGCUCACCAAGGCGACGAUCCGUAACUGGUCUGAGAGGAUGAUCAGUCACACUGGAACUGAGACACGGUCCAGACUCCUACGGGGGGCAGCAGUGGGGAAUAUUGGACAAUGGCGAAAGCCUGAUCCAGCCAUGCCGCGUGUGUGAAGAAGGUCUUCGGAUUGUAAAGCACUUUAAGUUGGGUAGGAAGGUAGGUAACCUAAUACGUUGCUACUUUGACGUUACCGACAAGAAUAAGAC
RNAcentral lists this ribosomal RNA (470 nucleotides) under uncultured bacterium. RNAcentral describes it as "bacterial SSU rRNA". It matches the Rfam family "Bacterial small subunit ribosomal RNA", at positions 30 to 492 of the family's 1533-position model. The record is from RNAcentral.